UUUCCGUAGGUGAACCUGCGGAAGGAUCAUUAUUGAAAAAGACAAGACGCCCCGUUUUUUCGUAAAAUGGGUUCAAUACCCACAACCGUGUAUACCUUACCUUUUGUUGCUUUGGCAGGCCGCCUCCGGGCGUUGGCUUCGGCUGACAGCGCCUGCCAGGGGACCCAAACUCUGUGUUUAGUGAUGUCUGAGUAAUAUAUAAUAUUUUAAAACUUUCAACAACGGAUCUCUUGGUUCUG
Molecule: unclassified non-coding RNA, 239 nt
Filed under: plant metagenome
Description: partial contains small subunit ribosomal RNA, internal transcribed spacer 1, and 5.8S ribosomal RNA
Source: RNAcentral